GACGAACGCUGGCGGCGUGCUUAACACAUGCAAGUCGAACGGAAAGGCCCUGCCUUUGUGGGGUGCUCGAGUGGCGAACGGGUGAGUAACGCGUGAGUAACCUGCCCUUGACUUUGGGAUAACUUCAGGAAACUGGGGCUAAUACCGGAUAGGAGCUCCUGCUGCAUGGUGGGGGUUGGAAAGUUUCGGCGGCUGGGGAUGGACUCGCGGCUUAUCAGCUUGUUGGUGGGGUAGUGGCUUACCAAGGCUUUGACGGGUAGCCGGCCUGAGAGGGUGACCGGCCACAUUGGGACUGAGAUACGGCCCAGACUCCUACGGGAGGCAGCAGUGGGGAAUAUUGCACAAUGGGCGGAAGCCUGAUGCAGCAACGCCGCGUGCGGGAUGACGGCCUUCGGGUUGUAAACCGCUUUCGCCUGUGACGAAGCGUGAGUGACGGUAAUGGGUAAAGAAGCACCGGCUAACUACGUGCCAGCAGCCGCGGUGAUACGUAGGGUGCGAGCGUUGUCCGGAUUUAUUGGGCGUAAAGGGCUCGUAGGUGGUUGAUCGCGUCGGAAGUGUAAUCUUGGGGCUUAACCCUGAGCGUGCUUUCGAUACGGGUUGACUUGAGGAAGGUAGGGGAGAAUGGAAUUCCUGGUGGAGCGGUGGAAUGCGCAGAUAUCAGGAGGAACACCAGUGGCGAAGGCGGUUCUCUGGGCCUUUCCUGACGCUGAGGAGCGAAAGCGUGGGGAGCGAACAGGCUUAGAUACCCUGGUAGUCCACGCUGUAAACGGUGGGUACUAGGUGUGGGGUCCAUUCCACGGGUUCCGUGCCGUAGCUAACGCUUUAAGUACCCCGCCUGGGGAGUACGGCCGCAAGGCUAAAACUCAAAGGAAUUGACGGGGCCCCGCACAAGCGGCGGAGCAUGCGGAUUAAUUCGAUGCAACGCGUAGAACCUUACCUGGGUUUGACAUGGAUCGGGAGUGCUCAGAGAUGGGUGUGCCUCUUUUGGGGUCGGUUCACAGGUGGUGCAUGCCUGUCGUCAGCUCGUGUCGUGAGAUGUUGGGUUAAGUCCCGCAACGGGCGCAACCCUUGUUCACUGUUGCCAGCACGUUAUGGUGGGGACUCAGUGGAGACCGCCGGGGUCAACUCGGAGGAAGGUGGGGAUGACGUCAAGUCCUCAUGCCCCUUAUGUCCAGGGCUUCACGCAUGCUACAAUGGCUGGUACAGAGAGUGGCGAGCCUGUGAGGGUGAGCGAAUCUCGGAAAGCCGGUCUCAGUUCGGAUUGGGGUCUGCAACUCGACCUCAUGAAGUCGGAGUCGCUAGUAAUCGCAGAUCAGCAACGCUGCGGUGAAUACGUUCCCGGGGCU
This 1346-nucleotide ribosomal RNA is filed under the name uncultured bacterium. Its description in RNAcentral is "bacterial SSU rRNA". It matches the Rfam family "Bacterial small subunit ribosomal RNA", at positions 28 to 1381 of the family's 1533-position model. The record is from RNAcentral.